This 206-nucleotide ribosomal RNA is filed under the name uncultured bacterium. RNAcentral describes it as "partial 16S ribosomal RNA". It matches the Rfam family "Bacterial small subunit ribosomal RNA", at positions 335 to 553 of the family's 1533-position model. The record is from RNAcentral.
ACUCCUACGGGGAGGCAGCAGUGGGGAAAUAUUGCACAAAUGGGGCGAAAAGCCUGAUGCAGCAACGCCGCGUGAGCGAUGAAGGCCUUCGGGUCGUAAAGCUCUGUCCCAUGGGAAGAUAAUGACGGUACCAUAGGAGGAAGCCCCGGCUAACUACGUGCCAGCAGCCGCGGUAAUACGUAGGGGGCAAGCGUUAUCCGGAAUUA